AAGACGGUCUUGCUGUCACUUAUAGAUGGAUCCGCGCUGCAUUAGCUAGUUGGUAAGGUAACGGCUUACCAAGGCAACGAUGCAUAGCCGACCUGAGAGGGUGAUCGGCCACACUGGAACUGAGACACGGUCCAGACUCCUACGGGAGGCAGCAGUAGGGAAUCUUCCGCAAUGGGCGAAAGCCUGACGGAGCAACGCCGCGUGAGUGAUGAAGGUCUUCGGAUCGUAAAACUCUGUUAUUAGGGAAGAACAUAUGUGUAAGUAACUGUGCACAUCUUGACGGUACCUAAUCAGAAAGCCACGGCUAACUACGUGCCAGCAGCCGCGGUAAUACGUAGGUGGCAAGCGUUAUCCGGAAUUAUUGGGCGUAAAGCGCGCGUAGGCGGUUUUUUAAGUCUGAUGUGAAAGCCCACGGCUCAACCGUGGAGGGUCAUUGGAAACUGGAAAACUUGAGUGCAGAAGAGGAAAGUGGAAUUCCAUGUGUAGCGGUGAAAUGCGCAGAGAUAUGGAGGAACACCAGUGGCGAAGGCGACUUUCUGGUCUGUAACUGACGCUGAUGUGCGAAAGCGUGGGGAUCAAACAGGAUUAGAUACCCUGGUAGUCCACGCCGUAAACGAUGAGUGCUAAGUGUUAGGGGGUUUCCGCCCCUUAGUGCUGCAGCUAACGCAUUAAGCACUCCGCCUGGGGAGUACGACCGCAAGGUUGAAACUCAAAGGAAUUGACGGGGACCCGCACAAGCGGUGGAGCAUGUGGUUUAAUUCGAAGCAACGCGAAGAACCUUACCAAAUCUUGACAUCCUUUGACAACUCUAGAGAUAGAGCCUUCCCCUUCGGGGGACAAAGUGACAGGUGGUGCAUGGUUGUCGUCAGCUCGUGUCGUGAGAUGUUGGGUUAAGUCCCGCAACGAGCGCAACCCUUAAGCUUAGUUGCCAUCAUUAAGUUGGGCACUCUAAGUUGACUGCCGGUGACAAACCGGAGGAAGGUGGGGAUGACGUCAAAUCAUCAUGCCCCUUAUGAUUUGGGCUACACACGUGCUACAAUGGACAAUACAAAGGGCAGCGAAACCGCGAGGUCAAGCAAAUCCCAUAAAGUUGUUCUCAGUUCGGAUUGUAGUCUGCAACUCGACUACAUGAAGCUGGAAUCGCUAGUAAUCGUAGAUCAGCAUGCUACGGUGAAUACGUUCCCGGGUCUUGUACACACCGCCCGUCACACCACGAGAGUUUGUAACACCCGAAGCCGGUGGAGUAACCUUUUAGGAGCUAGCCGUCGAAGGUGGGACAAAUGAUUGGG
This 1289-nucleotide ribosomal RNA is filed under the name Staphylococcus aureus. Its description in RNAcentral is "bacterial SSU rRNA". It matches the Rfam family "Bacterial small subunit ribosomal RNA", at positions 202 to 1479 of the family's 1533-position model. Lineage: Bacteria; Bacillati; Bacillota; Bacilli; Caryophanales; Staphylococcaceae. The record is from RNAcentral.